UUGGGCUUCACGCUCCUUCUUCGCUGUCCUUGGGUACAGCACAAAUACACAAUACUACGGUUACUACCGUAUCGUUUGCUCUUCCAAAAUUAAUGUCAACCUCUUCAAAUUCUAGAUCCCAUUCCCAGGAAUUACAAGUAGCCAUCAUUCUAAUGCCGUCUCAUAGGAGAGAAUUCUCAGAAUGAUCGUUUUUGACUCCGUCUAUAAAAUCAAAAUUUAGAGGGCCUCAAACUCAUGGUCGGACUGAAGCGCGCCUGACGUUCUCCAUCUCCUGAGUUUUUUUUUUCUACUCUUUCCAUCUUUCAAUUUCAUCUCUUACUUGGGUAUUUCGUCAAUUUUAUCUCAUUCACGAUCUUCUUUUUAGCUAAAUAAUGGACCAUCGAUGUCCCUUUUAAUUAGCUUAAAAUCAGUUAAUGUUGUCGAUCCACCAAAAUCUCAGGUCUAGAUCGCGUCAAUAGUUUUAAAGAAGAUCAACAGUCAUCUGAUCACGUCAAUAGUUUUAAAAUCAGUUACUGUAUAUCCCAGUUGUGAGUUGUAUUUCGAAAUUGAUGUAUUGGUGUAUAUAAACAAGGUCUCCAAACAUGUGUGCCGGAAGAGAAGAUCCUUCCAAAGACAGGGGAGUCAACUCCACGGAAAGCCAAACAGAGAACUCCUAGGGAUUAUUACAUCUAAGUGCACUAUUCAUAUGUGAUCAAGGGAUGGGGAAAGAUAUAGACAACGAGCAAGCAUGUGAGUCUUCUUUACCAGAUGGGUUUGAGAAUACACAAUCUAAGACUGGAGCUUGAACUCAAGCAGAUGGUGGUGAGUGAGAAAUCAUCAGAAUAAAACAAAAUAAACGGAAUUCAGAAUCAAUAAGAUGGUACUUGUGGUCAAAAAGGGAUUUCGAUAUGGUGUAGCUAUAAUGAUCAAAGCUACUAAUUUUACACCCAAAAAUGUAUAAAGAUGAUAGGUAAAGUAUUGUAAUCAACAGUAGAUAAUGGAUAAUGACAAGAUGCCAUCCCAGUGGCGGAGAGAUGACAAGGAGUGUUGGUAACAUAAUUCAAAGAGAUUGACAAGACAUAAAAAAGUUCAAACAGAUGUACGGAGAUAGUAAGAUAGUUUAUGCCCAAAGAUAUGUAAUUCAAAGAUACUGUCUUAAAGUUCAGAGAGAUUUAACAUCUUAUUAUGCAUUUACAAUCAUGAUCUAACAAUUGUGACAAUUAUAGUUCAAAGAUAUUGUGUAGGGAAAUUUUG
Non-coding RNA from Camelina sativa (false flax), 1233 nucleotides. NCBI's taxonomy places the organism in Eukaryota, Viridiplantae, Streptophyta, Magnoliopsida, Brassicales, Brassicaceae. The record is from RefSeq and is a predicted model, not a curated record.